Long non-coding RNA from Dromiciops gliroides (monito del monte), 892 nucleotides. RefSeq lists it as uncharacterized. NCBI's taxonomy places the organism in Eukaryota, Metazoa, Chordata, Mammalia, Microbiotheria, Microbiotheriidae. The transcript has 7 exons. The record is from RefSeq and is a predicted model, not a curated record.
UGGGAAUUAAGAUGAAUAGCUUCAGCCUCUUUGUGAAAACUCUCUUUUGUAUCGCCCUGGCUAAGUUCAAGAUCCCUGACUUCUCCAGGACCUGGAAGGCUAAGCGUGGCAUCUGUUACAUUUUCUUUCAGGACUAUGUGACUCAUUGUCAUUGUUGGACUGUAACUGUGAUAAGCAAGCACCUCUGAAUUUGGGAAAAGAAGAACCAGACAGAGUAGAAUUGUCCUCAGUGCCAUUUCCUUCCUUCUGGAAAAGUUCUUCUUUUUCAUCAAUUUGAUGAAUCCACAGCCUUUCAGAAGAGGAAUACCAAGUGCCUGGUUCCAAUUUGUCAGAGGAAGAGGAGUACUUAAGCCACAAGAGCCAUCCGAAAAUUCUAAUUUCUAAGGCAUGUAUAUACAUAUGGACAGCCUAGAAGUCUUUCCCAGAAGCACUCCCAGGAUAUAAAAAGGACUACAGAUGGAGAGCUGGAUGGGACCUUGGAGGCCACCUCAUCUAAUCAAUCCUUAUGACAGAUGGGAAAACCAAUGACCGGGAAUAUAGGUGAUUUGCCAAAGGCUCCACAGUGCCACAGUCCAUCUCCCAGUGGAAGAAAAAAAAAUCAAGGAACAAACUGCACCUGAAUUACAUGUACCCCUGGCAGUGAAAGAGACUCCCUGGCCUCAGCUCUAAUGGCUGCUGCUUGACCACCUCCUCUGAGCAUGCUGCGAAUGUCCUUCCGGGCAAAUGCACAAAUUUUUCCUGGAUGUCUUGUCCCUUCAGUUUGCAGAUUGGUGGAGAAGAUGGCAAGAGAACUGAAGUGAAUACCCUAGCUUUCUCUUUGUCAUGGAUUAACUUUCUGCCCCAAACAGUGGGCCUAUCCCUUCUUUGUUCUUUUUCUUCUUCCAAAUAAACC